UGUAAGCGUAUACCAAAGUUGUAGCAGUUAAAACGCUCGUAGUCGGAAUUUGGCAGUUCCGGAUGUGUGCACGUCGUGUGCGCACUUCGCGGGGAUUGCUUUUGUGGUCUUGCGUAGGAUGAGGCACUUUUAUUAGUGAACGUCCUCACGCAACCACUUUUUACUGUGAGAAAAUCAGAGUGCUCAAAGCAGGCAUUUGCCGUGAAUGUAUUAGCAUGGAAUAAUAGAAUAGGACUUGGUUCUAUUUUGUUGGUUUGUUGGGACUGAGUAAUGAUUAAGAGGGACAGUUGGGGGCAUUUGUAUUUCGGUGCUAGAGGUGAAAUUCUUAGAUUACCGAAAGACAAACUGCUGCGAAAGCGUCUGCCAAGGAUGUUUUCAUUGA
This 382-nucleotide ribosomal RNA is filed under the name uncultured eukaryote. RNAcentral's name for it is "partial 18S ribosomal RNA". It matches the Rfam family "Eukaryotic small subunit ribosomal RNA", at positions 592 to 976 of the family's 1831-position model. The record is from RNAcentral.